UAGAUUGGAACUCUACUGAAGAGUCUCAGUAGAUAGAGACUCUGGUGAAGAGUCCCACUGACUGAGCUCUGGUGAAGAGUCUCACUGGAUGGAGACUCUGCUGAAGAGUCCCACUAGACUUGGACUCUAUCACUAAUGGAGGAUUAAUUAGUGAUUAGAUCAUUAAUUAGCUCAAUUUGAUUGAGCAUUAAAGUUUGGAUCAAGUCUGAUUGAAUUGGAUUCAAUCAGGUCAGGUCUGAUUAGGUUAUAAGAUGACUUAAUCGGUAAGAAAAAAAUGAUCCUGA
Molecule: long non-coding RNA, 284 nt
Filed under: Elaeis guineensis (African oil palm)
Lineage: Eukaryota; Viridiplantae; Streptophyta; Magnoliopsida; Arecales; Arecaceae
Description: long non-coding RNA (EGUI_LNC058343)
Source: RNAcentral